AAGGCCUUAGUUUAACAAAGACAUUUGAUUUGCAUUCAGAAGAUGCGAGAUAAACUCUCGUAGGUCUU
This 68-nucleotide transfer RNA is filed under the name Cyprinella spiloptera (spotfin shiner). RNAcentral describes it as "tRNA-Ala". It matches the Rfam family "tRNA". Rfam says of the family: Transfer RNA (tRNA) molecules are approximately 80 nucleotides in length. Their secondary structure includes four short double-helical elements and three loops (D, anti-codon, and T loops). The record is from RNAcentral. Lineage: Eukaryota; Metazoa; Chordata; Actinopteri; Cypriniformes; Leuciscidae.